UACCCGUAACGCUUCUACCGAG
RNAcentral lists this microRNA (22 nucleotides) under Pristionchus pacificus. RNAcentral's name for it is "ppc-miR-56". Its record names the gene ppc-miR-56. The record is from miRBase by way of RNAcentral. Lineage: Eukaryota; Metazoa; Nematoda; Chromadorea; Rhabditida; Neodiplogasteridae.